Molecule: transfer RNA, 78 nt
Filed under: Alphaproteobacteria bacterium
Lineage: Bacteria; Pseudomonadati; Pseudomonadota; Alphaproteobacteria
Description: tRNA-Asp
Rfam family: tRNA
About the family: Transfer RNA (tRNA) molecules are approximately 80 nucleotides in length. Their secondary structure includes four short double-helical elements and three loops (D, anti-codon, and T loops).
Source: RNAcentral
GGGGGUGUAGCUCAGUCUGGUUAGAGCGCUGGCCUGUCACGCCAGAGGUCGCGAGUUCGAGUCUCGUCACUCCCGCCA